UUUGCAGAGGAUGCUUUUGGCGAGGUGCCUUCCGAGUUCCCUGGAACGGGACGCCAUAGAGGGUGAGAGCCCCGUCUGGUUGGAUGCCGAGCCUCUGUAAAGCUCCUUCGAC
RNAcentral lists this ribosomal RNA (112 nucleotides) under Pochonia chlamydosporia var. spinulospora. Its description in RNAcentral is "partial large subunit ribosomal RNA". Lineage: Eukaryota; Fungi; Ascomycota; Sordariomycetes; Hypocreales; Clavicipitaceae. The record is from RNAcentral.